This 465-nucleotide ribosomal RNA is filed under the name uncultured bacterium. Its description in RNAcentral is "bacterial SSU rRNA". It matches the Rfam family "Bacterial small subunit ribosomal RNA", at positions 330 to 792 of the family's 1533-position model. The record is from RNAcentral.
CCCAGACUCCUACGGGAGGCAGCAGUGAGGAAUAUUGGUCAAUGGCCGGAAGGCUGAACCAGCCAAGUCGCGUGAGGGAAUAAGGCCCUAUGGGUCGUAAACCUCUUUUGUCAGGGAGCAAAGGCGUCCACGAGUGGACGAAAGGAGAGUACCUGAAGAAAAAGCAUCGGCUAACUCCGUGCCAGCAGCCGCGGUAAUACGGAGGAUGCGAGCGUUAUCCGGAUUUAUUGGGUUUAAAGGGUGCGUAGGCGGACGCUUAAGUCAGCGGUAAAAUGGCGGGGCCAAACCUCGGCGAGCCGUUGAAACUGGGUGCCUUGAGUGGGCGAGAAGUACGCGGAAUGCGUGGUGUAGCGGUGAAAUGCAUAGAUAUCGCGCAGAACUCCGAUUGCGAAGGCAGCAUGCCGGCUCCACACUGACGCUGAGGCACGAAAGCGUGGGUAUCGAACAGGAUUAGAUACCCGCGUA